This 656-nucleotide ribosomal RNA is filed under the name uncultured bacterium. RNAcentral's name for it is "bacterial SSU rRNA". It matches the Rfam family "Bacterial small subunit ribosomal RNA", at positions 91 to 782 of the family's 1533-position model. The record is from RNAcentral.
GUCAGCGGCGGACGGGUGAGUAACGCGUGGGAACGUGCCCUCUGGUUCGGAAUAACUCAGGGAAACUUGAGCUAAUACCGGAUACGCCCUUUUGGGGAAAGGCUUGCUGCCGGAGGAUCGGCCCGCGUCUGAUUAGCUAGUUGGUGAGGUAACGGCUCACCAAGGCGACGAUCAGUAGCUGGUCUGAGAGGAUGAUCAGCCACACUGGGACUGAGACACGGCCCAGACUCCUACGGGAGGCAGCAGUGGGGAAUAUUGGACAAUGGGCGCAAGCCUGAUCCAGCCAUGCCGCGUGAGUGAUGAAGGCCUUAGGGUUGUAAAGCUCUUUUAUCCGGGACGAUAAUGACGGUACCGGAGGAAUAAGCCCCGGCUAACUUCGUGCCAGCAGCCGCGGUAAUACGAAGGGGGCUAGCGUUGCUCGGAAUCACUGGGCGUAAAGGGCGCGUAGGCGGCGUUUUAAGUCGGGGGUGAAAGCCUGUGGCUCAACCACAGAAUGGCCUUCGAUACUGGGACGCUUGAGUAUGGUAGAGGUUGGUGGAACUGCGAGUGUAGAGGUGAAAUUCGUAGAUAUUCGCAAGAACACCGGUGGCGAAGGCGGCCAACUGGACCAUUACUGACGCUGAGGCGCGAAAGCGUGGGGAGCAAACAGGAUUAGA